AGAGUUUGAUCCUGGCUCAGGACGAACGCUGGCGGCACGCUUAACACAUGCAAGUCGAACGAGAGAAGAGGAGCUUGCUUUUCUGAUCUAGUGGCGGACGGGUGAGUAACACGUGAGCAAUCUGCCUUUCAGAGGGGGAUACCGAUUGGAAACGAUCGUUAAUACCGCAUAACAUAAUUGAACCGCAUGAUUUGAUUAUCAAAGAUUUAUCGCUGAAAGAUGAGCUCGCGUCUGAUUAGCUAGUAGGUGAGGUAACGGCUCACCUAGGCGACGAUACAUAGCCGACCUGAGAGGGUGAUCGGCCACACUGGGACUGAGACACGGCCCAGACUCCUACGGGAGGCAGCAGUAGGGAAUCUUCGGCGAUGGGGGCAACCCUGACCGAGCAACGCCGCGUGAGUGAAGAAGGUUUUCGGAUCGUAAAGCUCUGUUGUAAGUCAAGAACGAGUGUGAGAGUGGAAAGUUCACACUGUGACGGUAGCUUACCAGAAAGGGACGGCUAACUACGUGCCAGCAGCCGCGGUAAUACGUAGGUCCCGAGCGUUGUCCGGAUUUAUUGGGCGUAAAGCGAGCGCAGGCGGUUUGAUAAGUCUGAAGUUAAAGGCUGUGGCUCAACCAUAGUUCGCUUUGGAAACUGUCAAACUUGAGUGCAGAAGGGGAGAGUGGAAUUCCAUGUGUAGCGGUGAAAUGCGUAGAUAUAUGGAGGAACACCGGUGGCGAAAGCGGCUCUCUGGUCUGUAACUGACGCUGAGGCUCGAAAGCGUGGGGAGCGAACAGGAUUAGAUACCCUGGUAGUCCACGCCGUAAACGAUGAGUGCUAGGUGUUGGAUCCUUUCCGGGAUUCAGUGCCGCAGCUAACGCAUUAAGCACUCCGCCUGGGAGUACGACCGCAAGGUUGAAACUCAAAGGAAUUGACGGGGGCCCGCACAAGCGGUGGAGCAUGUGGUUUAAUUCGAAGCAACGCGAAGAACCUUACCAGGUCUUGACAUCCCGAUGCUAUUUCUAGAGAUAGAAAGUUACUUCGGUACAUCGGUGACAGGUGGUGCAUGGUUGUCGUCAGCUCGUGUCGUGAGAUGUUGGGUUAAGUCCCGCAACGAGCGCAACCCCUAUUGUUAGUUGCCAUCAUUCAGUUGGGCACUCUAGCGAGACUGCCGGUAAUAAACCGGAGGAAGGUGGGGAUGACGUCAAAUCAUCAUGCCCCUUAUGACCUGGGCUACACACGUGCUACAAUGGUUGGUACAACGAGUUGCGAGUCGGUGACGGCAAGCUAAUCUCUUAAAGCCAAUCUCAGUUCGGAUUGUAGGCUGCAACUCGCCUACAUGAAGUCGGAAUCGCUAGUAAUCGCGGAUCAGCACGCCGCGGUGAAUACGUUCCCGGGCCUUGUACACACCGCCCGUCACACCACGAGAGUUUGUAACACCCGAAGUCGGUGAGGUAACCUUUUGGAGCCAGCCGCCUAAGGUGGGAUAGAUGAUUGGGGUGAAGCCGUAACAAGGUA
Molecule: ribosomal RNA, 1498 nt
Filed under: metagenome
Description: bacterial SSU rRNA
Rfam family: Bacterial small subunit ribosomal RNA
Source: RNAcentral